RNAcentral lists this ribosomal RNA (192 nucleotides) under uncultured bacterium. RNAcentral's name for it is "partial 16S ribosomal RNA". It matches the Rfam family "Bacterial small subunit ribosomal RNA", at positions 326 to 539 of the family's 1533-position model. The record is from RNAcentral.
ACGCUCGACACCUGGCAGCAGUGGGGAAUAUUGCACAAUGGGGGAAACCCUGAUGCAGCGACGCCGCGUGAGCGAAGAAGUAUUUCGGUAUGUAAAGCUCUAUCAGCAGGGAAGAAACUGACGGUACCUGACUAAGAAGCACCGGCUAAAUACGUGCCAACAGCCGCGGUAAUCUGAGCGGGCUGGCAAGGC